Oncorhynchus masou masou (cherry salmon) is the source of this 4163-nucleotide long non-coding RNA. RefSeq lists it as uncharacterized. The record is from RefSeq and is a predicted model, not a curated record. Lineage: Eukaryota; Metazoa; Chordata; Actinopteri; Salmoniformes; Salmonidae. The transcript has 2 exons.
UGUAAACAUUGGCUGUAAACAUUGGCUGUAGGUGUAAACAUUGGCUGUAGGUGUAAACAUUGGCUGUAGGUGUAAAUAUUGGCUGUAGGUGUAAACGAGGGGACAGAGCGAAACAGGAUGUGACCAGUGGUGUAAAAAGUAAAGAUAGUUUAAUAGAAAAUGACUCAAGUAAAAGUCAGUAAAAUACUACUUGAGUAAACGUCAAAGUAUUUGGUUUUAAAUAUAUAUUUACCUUUAUUUAACCAGGCAAGUCAGUUAAGAACAAAUUCUUAUUUUCAAUGACGGCCUAGGAACAAUGGGUUAACUGUCUGUUCAGGGGCAGAAUGACAGAUUUGUACCUUGUCAGCUCGGGGGUUUGAACUUGCAACCUUCCGGUCACUAGUUCAACGCUCUAACCACUAGGCUACCCUGCCACCCCAUAUACUUAAGUUUCAAAAAUAAAAUAAUGAAAUACUUCAAAUUCCUUAUAUUAAGCAAAUCAGACGGCAAUAUUUGCUUUUGACAUUUUAAUUUACAGAUAGCCAAGGGUGCUCCAACACUCAGACAUCAUUUACAAACAAAGCUUUGUGAGUCCUCCAGAUCAGAGGCAGUAGUGAUGACCAGGGAUGUUCUCUGUUUAGUGAGUCCUCCAGAUCAGAGGCAGUAGUGAUGACCAGGGAUGUUCUCUGUUUAGUGAGUCCUCCAGAUCAGAGGCAGUAGGGAUGUUCUCUGUUUAGUGAGUCCUCCAGAUCAGAGGCAGUAGGGAUGACCAGGGAUGUUCUCUGUUUAGUGAGUCCUCCAGAUCAGAGGCAGUAGAGAUGACCAGAGAUGUUCUCUGUUUAGUGAGUCCUCCAGAUCAGAGGCAGUAGGGAUGACCAGAGAUGUUCUCUUGAUUAGUGAGUCCUCCAGAUCCGAGGCAGUAGGGAUGACCAGAGAUGUUCUCUUGAUUAGUGAGUCCUCCAGAUCAGAGGCAGUAGGGAUGACCAGGGAUGUUCUCUGUUUAGUGAGUCCUCCAGAUCAGAGGCAGUAGAGAUGACCAGAGAUGUUCUCUGUUUAGUGAGUCCUCCAGAUCAGAGGCAGUAGGGAUGACCAGAGAUGUUCUCUUGAUUAGUGAGUCCUCCAGAUCCGAGGCAGUAGGGAUGACCAGAGAUGUUCUCUUGAUUAGUGAGUCCUCCAGAUCAGAGGCAGUAGGGAUGACCAGGGAUGUUCUCUGUUUAGUGAGUCCUCCAGAUCAGAGGCAGUAGAUGACCAGGGAUGUUCUCUGCUUAGUGAGUCCUCCAGAUCAGAGGCAGUAGGGAUGACCAGGGAUGUUCUCUGUUUAGUGAGUCCUCCAGAUCAGAGGCAGUAGGGAUGACCAGGGAUGUUCUCUGUUUAGUGAGUCCUCCAGGUCAGAGGCAGUAGGGAUGACCAGCGAUGUUCUCUGUUUAGUGAGUCCUCCAGAUCAGAGGCAGUAGGGAUGACCAGAGAUGUUCUCUUGAUUAGUGAGUCCUCCAGAUCCGAGGCAGUAGGGAUGACCAGAGAUGUUCUCUUGAUUAGUGAGUCCUCCAGAUCAGAGGCAGUAGGGAUGACCAGGGAUGUUCUCUGUUUAGUGAGUCCUCCAGAUCAGAGGCAGUAGGGAUGACCAGAGAUGUUCUCUUGAUUAGUGUGUGAAUUGGACCAUUUUCCUGUCCUGCUAACCCUUCAAAAUGUAACUUGUACUUUUGGGUGUCAGGGAAAAUGUAGGGAGUAAAAAGUACAUUAUUUUCUUUAUGAAUGUACAGUUGAAGUCGGAAGUUUACAUACACAUUAGCCAAAUACAUUUAAACUCAGUUUUUCACCAUUCCUGACAUUUAAUCUGAGUCCUGUCAGUGUAGCCUAGUGGUUAGAGCGUUGGACUAGUAACCGAAAGGUUGCAAGUUCAAAUCCCUGAGCUGACAAGGUACAAAAUCUGUCGUUCUGCCCCUGAACAGGCAGUUAACCCACUGUUCCUAGACUGUCAUUGAAAAUAAGAAUUUGUUCUUAACUGACUUGCCUGAUUAAAUAAAGGUAAAAUAAAAAAAUAAAAACAUUCCCUGUCUUAGGUCAGUUAGAAUCACCACUUUAUUUUAAGAAUGUGAAAUGUUAGAAUAAUAGUAGAGUGAUUUAUUUCAGCUUUUAUUUCUUUCAUCACAUUCCCAGUGGGUCAGAAGUUUACAUACACUCAAUUAGUAUUUGGUAGCAUUUAACUUGUUUAACUUGGGUUAACGUUUCAUGUAGCCUUCCACAAUAAGUUGGGUGAAUAUUGGCCCAUUCCUCCUGACAGAGCUGGUGUAACUGAGUCAGGUUUGUUGGCCUCCUUGCUCGCAUUCGCUUUUUCAGUUCUGCCCACAAAUGUUCUAUAGGAUUGAGGUCAGGGCUUUGUGAUGGCCACUCAAAUACCUUGACUUUGUUGUCCUUAAGCCAUUUUGCCACAACUUUGGAAAUAUGCUUGAGGUCAUUGUCUAUUUGGAAGACCCAUUUGUGACCAAGAUUUAACUUCCUGACUAAUGUCUUGAUGUUGCUUCAAUAUUUCCACAUUUUCUUUCCUCAUGAUGCUUUCUAGUUUGAAGUGGACCAGUCCCUCCUGCAGUAAAUCACCCCCAUAACAUGAUGCUGCCACCCCUGUGCUUCACAGUUGGGAUGGUGUUCUUCGGCUUGCAAACCUCACCCUUUUUCCUCUAAACAUAACGAUGGUCAUUAUGGCUAAACAGUUCUAGGUUUGUUUCAUCAGACCCGAUGACAUUUCUCUAAAAAGUAAGGUCUUUGUCCCCAUGUGCAGUUGCAAACCGUAGUCUGGCUUUUUUAUGGCGGUUUUGGAGCAGUGGCUUCUUCCUUGCUGAGCAGCCUUUCAGGUUAUGUCGAUAUAGGACUCGUUUUACUGUGGUUAUAGAUACUUUUGUACCCGUUUUGUCCAGCAUCUUCACAAGGUUCCUUUGCUGUUGUUCUGGGAUUAAUUUGCACAUUUCACACCAAAGUACCUUCAUCUCUAGGAGACAGAACGCGUCUCCUUCCUGAGCAGUAUGACGACUGCGUGGUCCCAUGGUGUUCAUACUUGCGUACUAUUGUUUGUACAGAUGAAUGUGGUACCUUCAGGUGUUUGGAAAUUGCUCCCAAGGAUGAACCAGAUUUAUGGAGAUUUACAAAUUAUUUUCAGAGAUAUUGGCUGAUUUCCUUUGAUUUUCCCAUGAUGUCAAACAAAGAGGCACUGAGUUUGAAGGUAGGCCUUGAAAUACAUCCACAGGUACACCCCCAAUUGACUCAAAUUAUGUCAAUUAGCCUAUCAGAAGCUUCUAAAGCAAUGACAUCAUUUUCUGGGCUUUUCCAAGCUGUUUAAAGGCACAGUCAGCUUAGUGUAUGUAAACUUCUGUCCCACUGGAAUUGUGAUACAGUGAAUUAUAAGUAAAAUAUUCUGUCUGUUAACAAUUGUUGGAAAAAUGACAUGUGUCAUCCACAAAGUAGAUGUCCUAACCGACUUGCCAAAACUAUAGUUUGUUAACAAGAAAUUUCUGGAGUGGUUGAAAAGCGAGUUUUAAUGACUCCAACCUCAGUGUAAGUAAACUUCCGACUUCAACUGUAGUUAAGUAAAAGUUGACAAAAAUACGAAUUGUAAAGUACAGAUACCCCCAAAAAAGGACUUAAGUAAAAAAAACUUAAGUUGUAUUUUAAAGUACUUUACACCACUGCCACUGACUAGGGUGACCACAUUUAAAAUAACCAAAUAUGGGAUGAUUUUGUGGGACAUUGUAUCAGAAGCGUCCUGCUUUUAUUGGCAAAUUUGUUGUUUGAAUUUGUGGAUAAAAUACAGGACAUGAUUGGUUGUGGGGACAAAGGGCCAAAAUGUGUGACUAUCCUGCCCAAUCCGGAACAUGUGGUCACCCUACAAAACAAAUCAUGUCUUAGGAAGGUUCGGAUGGUACAAUAGGCUGCUGCUGCUAGAGAAAGGUCUUAUCUGUUGAUUUGUGUUGCAGCCCUGCUCACUGCUUUCAGGUAAUACAUUGGGAUGAAUGUACAUGUUAUCCAACACUUCAAUCGGGUCUAUUUAUCUGUGUUCACUAUUCACUGUGUUUGCUGUUGGUCUCUGCGCCUGUUGGAAUAUUUCAUUAUUGUUUACCUUUAUGUUCUGAGGGCGUUACUACAAAGCAGGAUCGGUGUGUUAGCUUGCCUAAAUAUUAAAUUUUCUGAAAUAA